AAGGGUCUUGGGAUAGUUGGAGUUAAGCGUCCUUGGGUUUGAAUAGUACUGGGCUGGGUGACCUCCCGGGAAGUCCAAACUCAGGAGCUUACAUUUGGUAUCAGAGCGGUCUCGGGUCCGACUCUGUUAGUUGGCUAGGGGAAUCACACCACAUGUUAAUUGACAUCUGGCUGGUCCAAUUUGCUCCUGCUGGGCUCGACCCGAGGGGUAGGGUGUCAAGAGAGCGGGGCUCUCGGGAGAGUUGCGGCUCUCAGCUUCCGUUCACGAGGGCGUGAACUUGCAGGGAAGCGUGGUGGAUUGUAAGCAACCAAAGGGAACGACUCGAGAGACGAUCCAUGGGGUUCAAAUAUAGAGGGAAAGGGCCCAUGAAUAAGAGUGCACCCCCUUUUCCAAUCGGUUAAGGGUCUUGGGAUAGUUGGAGUUAAGCGUCCUUGGGUUUGAAUAGUAUUGGGCUGGGUGACCUCCCGGGAAGUCCAAACUCAGAAGCUUACAUUUGGUAUCAGAGCGGUCUCGAGUCCGACUCUGUUGGUUGGCUAGGGGAAUCACACCACAUGUUAAUUGACAUCUGGCUGGUCCAAUUUGCUCCUGCUGGGCUCGACCCGAGGGGUAGGGUGUCAAGAGAGCGGGGCUUUCGGGAGAGUUGCGGCUCUCAGCUUCCGUUCACGAGGGCAUGAACUUGCAAGGAAGCGUGGUGGAUUGUAAGCAACCAAAGGGAACGACUCGAGAGACAAUCCAUGGGGUUCAAAUAUAGAGGGAAAGGGCCCAUGAAUAAGAGUGCACCCCC
This 784-nucleotide long non-coding RNA is filed under the name Selaginella moellendorffii. The record is from RNAcentral. Lineage: Eukaryota; Viridiplantae; Streptophyta; Lycopodiopsida; Selaginellales; Selaginellaceae.